GGAGAGGUGACCGAGUGGUUUAUGGUGCUGCUCUCGAAAAGCAGUGUGGCGUUAGCCACCGUAGGUUCGAAUCCUACCCUCUCCG
This 85-nucleotide transfer RNA is filed under the name Elusimicrobiota bacterium. RNAcentral's name for it is "Elusimicrobia bacterium (microbial mat metagenome) tRNA-Ser". It matches the Rfam family "tRNA". From Rfam's summary of the family: Transfer RNA (tRNA) molecules are approximately 80 nucleotides in length. Their secondary structure includes four short double-helical elements and three loops (D, anti-codon, and T loops). Further hydrogen bonds mediate the characteristic L-shaped molecular structure. tRNAs have two regions of fundamental functional importance: the anti-codon, which is responsible for specific mRNA codon recognition, and the 3' end, to which the tRNAs corresponding amino acid is attached (by aminoacyl-tRNA synthetases). tRNAs cope with the degeneracy of the genetic code in two manners: having more than one tRNA (with a specific anti-codon) for a particular amino acid; and 'wobble' base-pairing, i.e. permitting non-standard base-pairing at the 3rd anti-codon position. Lineage: Bacteria; Pseudomonadati; Elusimicrobiota. The record is from RNAcentral.